AGCGGCAGACGGGUGCGUAACAUGUGGGAAUCUGCCUUUUGGUUCGGAACAACACGGGGAAACCUGUGCUAAUACCGGAUAAGUCCUUACGGAGAAAGUUUUAAUGCCAAAAGAUGAGCCCGCAUUUGAUUAGCUAGUUGGUGAGGUAAAAGCUCACCAAGGCGAUAAUCAGUAGCUGAUUUGAGAGAAUGAUCAGCCACACUGGGACUGAGACACGGCCCAGACUCCUACGGGAGGCAGCAGUGGGGAAUAUUGGACAAUGGGCGGAAGCCUGAUCCAGCCAUGCCGCGUGUGUGAAGAAGGCCUUUUGGUUGUAAAGCACUUUAAGCGAGGAGGAGGCUACUCUAGUUAAUACCUAGAGAUAGUGGACGUUACUCGCAGAAUAAGCACCGGCUAACUCUGUGCCAGCAGCCGCGGUAAUACAGAGGGUGCGAGCGUUAAUCGGAUUUACUGGGCGUAAAGCGUGCGUAGGCGGCUGAUUAAGUCGGAUGUGAAAUCCCUGAGCUUAACUUAGGAAUUGCAUUCGAUACUGGUCAGCUAGAGUAUGGGAGAGGAUGGUAGAAUUCCAGGUGUAGCGGUGAAAUGCGUAGAGAUCUGGAGGAAUACCGAUGGCGAAGGCAGCCAUCUGGCCUAAUACUGACGCUGAGGUACGAAAGCAUGGGGAGCAAACAGGAUUAGAUACCCUGGUAGUCCAUGCCGUAAACGAUGUCUACUAGCCGUUGGGGCCUUUGAGGCUUUAGUGGCGCAGCUAACGCGAUAAGUAGACCGCCUGGGAGUACGGUCGCAGACUAAACUCAAAUGAAUUGACGGGGCCGCACAAGCGUGAGCAUGUG
This 833-nucleotide ribosomal RNA is filed under the name uncultured bacterium. RNAcentral describes it as "bacterial SSU rRNA". It matches the Rfam family "Bacterial small subunit ribosomal RNA", at positions 94 to 943 of the family's 1533-position model. The record is from RNAcentral.